Molecule: long non-coding RNA, 1074 nt
Filed under: Pogona vitticeps (central bearded dragon)
Lineage: Eukaryota; Metazoa; Chordata; Lepidosauria; Squamata; Agamidae
Description: lncRNA (ENSPVIG00000018842.1)
Source: RNAcentral
AUAAAAUCUCAACAGAUGGACUGAACUUCAGAUUCUUCUCCCUGUUGUGGUCCUUCUCUUACUGGAUAUUGGGUGGUGUCAUGGUUAGAGACUUUGGAUGCAGGAGCUCUGAACAGUAACAAUAUUCAUCCAGUUUUCAUAAGCUUGUAGCAGUGGGAGCAUCAUCUGCCUUGGGGAGCCUGAGACUUCAAGUGGUGGUCCUGCCCUAUUUAUAGGCAAACCUGUCUCUAUGUCAGAGAAUGGUCACAAUGAAUGCUUCUGUGAUGUGAUCAUAUAAGAAAGACCCCUACAGGGUAAGGAAGUUAUGACCAUAUUUGGAUUCAAAGCACAACUUCAUAAAACAACCAUGACUGAUGACAGCUAAAAUAAAAUGAUUUAACAAUAGUAUUAAUAAAAUCAAACUAUAAAUCCAGAUCUAAGCAGCUCAUCACUAAAACAUCAUUUAAAAAUCAGUUAAGACUGACAACAAGAAUAAAAUGCAAUGCCCCAUGGAUAUUUGAAAUCUUCUGCUAUGAAGGCCCUAACUAUGGGCUUAAAGCUUUUUAACAUCCGUAGCUCACACUGUGUACUACUACAGGAAGGUGAAAUAGCCCUUGUUGAACCUCCUAAUGUGCAGCAGUUUUGGGAAAUGUCAACUAACAACAAAAUGAUGUCUCCCACGUGAACAAAUCGCUGCUCCAGCAAAGCCAGGCAAAAUGAUGUUCCAAGAUGCUGAAGGAGGAUCACAGAGGAACAGUCUUUCAUUAAAACCUGAAGCCGCAAAAUUGUUUCUGUCUGUGUCAAUUACUUUGUCCAUGCAUAUUCAAUUCUUUUUUUAAAAGAGGGAGUUGUGAGUUUGAAAUUUCUCAGCAAUCUUCUGGAAAGAGGUUAUCCUGGUUUCUCAAAAGACCUUAGUUCUUGAAAUUCUGCACCUGGUUUUAAUGUACAGUAUUUGAAAAAGCAUAAUUUCAAGUUGGACUGCAAUAAUCACCAUUAUUCCAAAAACGAAUGACAAUUGUUGUACGUGAUAGUUUAACUAAAGUAUUUCAGCUAAGACGCAACUUAAAAUGAAUAAACCAAAAUAACAUCUGGCCA